GACUUUGGCUAAAAAAAUAAACUGUCAAAGGAACUGGCAUUUGCUGACUGGACUACAGCACAUCUCGAAGAAUCUGCAGACUGAAACCUUCAAGGCAUUCAUGAAAUGGUCUUCCCUUAGUUCCCCUGCCUUUUCCACUCUUUCUGCCAUUUGGAUUUCACACUGGAAGUUCAAGAGAUGACAUCAGAAAACAGAAAAGCCAGUGGGAAAGGCAAGGAGAUUUGGAAGAGUGUUUGAAAAUUUUGGCAAUCAAGAAUAAGAAGGUGUUGAAAUCAAAUAGUUCCUGCUGGGCACUGUGGAGUAUUUAUCAGAAGUCAGUUAUAUUGCCAAUUCCCGACCAGUUUUACUUAAGACACUUGGGUGUGGAAAGAUAAUGCUGUCUAUGAAAUAAAU
RNAcentral lists this long non-coding RNA (393 nucleotides) under Homo sapiens (human). RNAcentral's name for it is "novel transcript". Lineage: Eukaryota; Metazoa; Chordata; Mammalia; Primates; Hominidae. The record is from RNAcentral.